CCGGUCAUUCACGCCAGGGGUGUCGGGGGCCAAGCCAACCCGACAUGAAAAGGGAACCGGGGACAUACCAUAAGGUAUCAGCCCGGACUGUGCCCGCAACUGUGAGGGGGAAUACCCCGAGUCAGGAUACCUGCCCCUGUGCCUCUUUUAUU
This 152-nucleotide non-coding RNA is filed under the name Shewanella amazonensis. The record is from RNAcentral. Lineage: Bacteria; Pseudomonadati; Pseudomonadota; Gammaproteobacteria; Alteromonadales; Shewanellaceae. RNAcentral also lists the same sequence under 1 other name.